AACGAACGCUGGCGGCGGGCUUAACACAUGCAAGUCGAACGGAAAGGCCGUGCUAUUGUGGGGUGCCGGAGUGGCGAAAGCGUGAGUAACACGUGAAUAACCUGACCUUGAAUUUGGGAUAACUUCAGGUAACUGAGGCUAAUACCGGAUAGGAGCCCCUGUUGCAUGGUGGGCGUUGGAAAGUUUCGCCGGGUGGGGAUGGACUCGCGGCUUAUUAACUUGCUGGUGGGGGAGGUGCUUACCAAGGCUGUGACGGGUAGCCGGCCUGAGAGGGUGACCGGCCACAUGAGUACUGAGAGACGGCCCAGACUCCUACGGGAGGCAGCAGUGGGGAAUAUUGCACAAUGGGCGGAAGUCUGAUGCAGCAACGCCGGGUGCGUGAUGACGGCCUUCGGGUUGUAAACCGCUUUCGCCUGAGACGAAGCGUGAGUGACGGUAAUGGGUAAAGAAGCACCGGCUAACUACGUG
This 468-nucleotide ribosomal RNA is filed under the name uncultured bacterium. RNAcentral describes it as "partial 16S ribosomal RNA". It matches the Rfam family "Bacterial small subunit ribosomal RNA", at positions 28 to 507 of the family's 1533-position model. The record is from RNAcentral.